GACGAACCGUGCGAACGUUAUUCGGAAUCACUGGGCUUAAAGCGCGUGUAGGCGGGCCGGCACGUCGGUCGCUGAAAUCCCCCGGCUCAACCGGGGAACGGGCGCCGAUACGACCGGCCUGGAGGGGAGUAGGGGGACCUGGAACUUCCGGUGGAGCGGUGAAAUGCGUUGAGAUCGGAAGGAACGCCCGUGGCGAAAGCGAGGUCCUGGGCUCCUGCUGACGCUGAGACGCGAAAGCCAGGGGAGCGAACGGG
Molecule: ribosomal RNA, 254 nt
Filed under: uncultured bacterium
Lineage: Bacteria
Description: partial 16S ribosomal RNA
Rfam family: Bacterial small subunit ribosomal RNA
Source: RNAcentral